This 77-nucleotide transfer RNA is filed under the name Alphaproteobacteria bacterium. RNAcentral describes it as "tRNA-Arg". It matches the Rfam family "tRNA". From Rfam's summary of the family: Transfer RNA (tRNA) molecules are approximately 80 nucleotides in length. Their secondary structure includes four short double-helical elements and three loops (D, anti-codon, and T loops). RNAcentral also lists the same sequence under 1 other name. Lineage: Bacteria; Pseudomonadati; Pseudomonadota; Alphaproteobacteria. The record is from RNAcentral.
GUUCUCGUAGCUCAGAUGGAUAGAGCGUAGGAUUCCUAAUCCUGAGGUCGUGGGUUCAAAUCCCUCCGGGAACACCA